GACGAACGCUGGCGGCGUGCUUAACACAUGCAAGUCGAACGAUGAACCCGGAGCUUGCUCCGGCGGAUUAGUGGCGAACGGGUGAGUAACACGUGAGUAACCUGCCCUUGACUCCGGGAUAAGCCUGGGAAACUGGGUCUAAUACCGGAUAGGACCACUGCCUGCAUGGGUGGUGGUGGAAAGCUUUUGCGGUGUGGGAUGGGCCCGCGGCCUAUCAGCUUGUUGGUGGGGUGAUGGCCUACCAAGGCGACGACGGGUAGCCGGCCUGAGAGGGUGACCGGCCACACUGGGACUGAGAUACGGCCCAGACUCCUACGGGAGGCAGCAGUGGGGAAUAUUGCACAAUGGGCGCAAGCCUGAUGCAGCGACGCCGCGUGAGGGAUGACGGCCUUCGGGUUGUAAACCUCUUUCAGCACCGACGAAGCGCAAGUGACGGUAGGUGCAGAAGAAGGACCGGCCAACUACGUGCCAGCAGCCGCCGUAA
This 484-nucleotide ribosomal RNA is filed under the name uncultured bacterium. RNAcentral describes it as "partial 16S ribosomal RNA". It matches the Rfam family "Bacterial small subunit ribosomal RNA", at positions 28 to 523 of the family's 1533-position model. The record is from RNAcentral.